RNA transcript from Sorghum bicolor (sorghum), 1939 nucleotides. RefSeq lists it as uncharacterized. The transcript is spliced from 6 exons. Lineage: Eukaryota; Viridiplantae; Streptophyta; Magnoliopsida; Poales; Poaceae. The record is from RefSeq and is a predicted model, not a curated record.
GCCAGAACGACGGGGAAGCCCAACAGACUUCUCUUCUCACUACUCUCUCUCUCUCUUCAAAAGAAGCAACGCACAGCAGUCUGCUCUUCUUCCUCCUCGGCCGGUGCUCCACGCUCGAGCUACCCGACGGAGCUGCCUCCACGAGCUGGCCGACGCGGAUCUGACGACCCGGCAUCCCUCCGCCGAGCCUCGGCCAGUCCGCGCUCAAGAAAUCCGGCGCCGCGGCGGGACGCGGCUCCAGCGAGCUCCACUCCUCUUCCUCUUUCUGCCGCCGCCGCAACCGCGAUGCCGGCGGUGAGCAUCGGCCGGGACUGUGUCUUCGUAGAUCUGGGUCGGACGUACAGUAAGUUUGACUCCCUCUGCUCAGUUCCUCCCCCAAAUCCCUAGCUCUCCCCCAUCCGUGACGCAGCGCAGGAGGAGUUCGAGGCGCUCUGCUCGCGGCAGCCCAUUUGGAUGGAUGAGUAAGACCCCCGCCCCGGCCCUCUCCGCCUCCUCCUCCGCCCCGGCGGCGCCCUUCUCGGUCAUGACCGCGGGGACCUACCAGGGAGGAGAGGACCCGCUCGUCUCCAAGCUCGGCACCCAGCUCGGCAUCAUCCACCCGCUCCCGGCGCCCCCCGUCAGUCGCUCCGUCGUCGGCCUCUUCGCGCUCUUCUUCUUACAAGCUUAUGUGGCUAAACUGGAGACUUCAAUGUCUGCUGUUGCUAGUAAACUUGAGACAAAACUUUAUGGUUACAAUGAUACGCUUCCCAUCCUGCUGUCCAAGAUCUUUUCUACUCACUGUUUCUUUUCUCCAACGACAGAUGAUUUUGAGGUGCUGCAAUUCAUUGUUUUAGGAGAUACACAUGAAUUAUAUUGCUUUUUGGAUCAUAAAAUUAGCAUAGUCUCUUGUUUUCUUUUCUUGGUAUACAUGGUGAGUUUGGUAUUCAUACUCGAUGGAAAUCUUUGGAUGAUCUUUACAAGGUAAUUAUUAUCUUGGAAUACAUGGCGAGCUUGGUAUUCAUACUUGAUGGAAAUCUUUGGAUGAUCUUUACCCAAAGGUUCAUGUAUUACCUCAGCUUGACGCAGGCAGCCCACAAGCACAAUCACUUCACUGGUUAAGGGACUUCUGGACCACAAGAGGUUGGAGCAGGUUUCGACCGUUGAUGUCAAAAGGAUUGAUAAUUACCUCAGCCUACCGCCGGCAUGGUUAAGGGGGUUAUCGACGAGAAGAGGUAGGAGCACGUCCGAGCACGUGUCAACCGUUGCCAUGAACCAGAGCUGCGGUGGCGCCGCUCCAGACCUUCUGUGCCGCCACACCUCUGCACCGCUGGGGCAGAACGUGGUCAACGGCAGAGAGCGACUUGUGAUGCCUCAGAGGAACAACCAGCAAGGUGAUCUGUUGUGCCGCCGCAGCUCUGGAACGCUAGGGGAAAAUGUGGCCGCAUCGAGGAGGCGACCUGCUGUGCUGCCGUGUCGCCGCUGCCGUGUCGCCGCAUCGCUGGGCAGAACGUCGCCACGUCAGGAAGCCGACCUGGGGGAGAAUGUGGCCGCGUCGGGGAGGCGACCGGCCGUGCUGCCGUGCCGCCGCACUGCCCGGCAGAACGUCGCCGCGUCAGGGAGUCGACCUGCUGUGUUGUCGAGGUCGUCGAGCGGAACGUGGCCGCGUUGGGAGAGGGAUUUGCUGAGGCGCGGAGUAGUCCGAGGAAGGGGAUCGGGGAGGCGUCAAAAAGGAUCGGGGGGAGUUCUGUAAUCACGGUUCGUUUCUAUAUUUGUUGGGUGGUAUAAAAUUGAUAAUCUUUCGCGCGGGUCCGCAAAUAGUGGCGUUUUGAGGGAUAUUUAUCCAGGACGGCCCACCUGGAGUGGAGUGGCAUUUUUAGGGACAUGACGGGGGCGCGGACGCAAGCCGUGGACCGACGGAAGGAUGCUAUUGUCGCACCAGGAGAAGUCUUAUUUUUAUUCU